This is a long non-coding RNA of Hemicordylus capensis (graceful crag lizard), 708 nucleotides long. RefSeq lists it as uncharacterized. The record is from RefSeq and is a predicted model, not a curated record. NCBI's taxonomy places the organism in Eukaryota, Metazoa, Chordata, Lepidosauria, Squamata, Cordylidae. The transcript is spliced from 3 exons.
AGAGAGAGUGUGAGAGAGAGAGAGAGAGUGUGUGUGAGAGAGAGAGAGAGAGAGAGUGUGUGUGUGUGUAGAUAUAUAUAUAAAUAUAUAUAUAAAUAAAUGGAGGCGGGCAGGGGUCUGCAAAGAGAGGGUUCAUGAGGGAGGAAAGAGCCUCUUCAGGAGAAGGAGGCUGCCGUUGUGGGAAUUAGAUGAGGAAAUAAGAUGAACAAGGAAAUGGUGUUCAUGCCAUAAAUGUCUGCCUACAGGCAGUAAUGGGCUGGAUGAGGGAUAACAAAUUGAAGCUGGAUCCAAGCAAGACAGAGAUAAUUAAUCCUCUUAGCCGGACCAGAUGCGUGGGGAUGUGUGGCGGAACACUCGCACACGCGUUAGGAGAUGACUGGGCGUCGUGGGGAUGCGUGGCGGAACUCUUGCAAGAGUUCCGCACACACAUUAGGAGACGGCUGGGCGGUGUGCUCCCUUCCCCCCAGUGCCCCUCCCCUCCAGUGCCCCCGUGAGACUUCUUAAACUUAUCCUAUAUCCUAUGAGAAAUAUUAUUACGAACACAAUAUUGAAAAAGCAGAACAGCUUGCAAGGGAUUGUACAAGAUCAGAAACCUAUGAUUACAAGUAGCGUAUUUUUAGGUCUCAUCUGUUCACAUGCAUGACUUCUUCAUCUCCUAUACUCAGAAGUUAUGAUUGAAAUAACUGAUUUACAUUAAAGUCUUACCUU